GACGAACGCUGGCGGCGUGCUUAACACGUGCAAGUCGAACGGAAAGGCCCUGCUUUUGUGGGGUGCUCGAGUGGCGAACGGGUGAGUAACACGUGAGUAACCUGCCCUUGACUUUGGGAUAACUUCAGGAAACUGGGGCUAAUACCGGAUAGGAGCUCCUGCUGCAUGGUGGGGGUUGGAAAGUUUCGGCGGUUGGGGAUGGACUCGCGGCUUAUCAGCUUGUUGGUGGGGUAGUGGCUUACCAAGGCUUUGACGGGUAGCCGGCCUGAGAGGGUGACCGGCCACAUUGGGACUGAGAUACGGCCCAGACUCCUACGGGAGGCAGCAGUGGGGAAUAUUGCAAAAUGGGCGGAAGCUUGAUGCAGCAACGCCGCGUGCGGGAUGACGGCCUUCGGGUUGUAAACCGCUUUCGCCUGUGACGAAGCGUGAGUGACGGUAAUGGGUAAAGAAGCACCGGCUAACUACGUG
Molecule: ribosomal RNA, 468 nt
Filed under: uncultured bacterium
Lineage: Bacteria
Description: partial 16S ribosomal RNA
Rfam family: Bacterial small subunit ribosomal RNA
Source: RNAcentral